RNAcentral lists this long non-coding RNA (487 nucleotides) under Gallus gallus (chicken). RNAcentral describes it as "long non-coding RNA NONGGAT006508". The record is from RNAcentral. Lineage: Eukaryota; Metazoa; Chordata; Aves; Galliformes; Phasianidae.
AGCACAGGGCAUGAAGUCAGGCACAGAGAGUCCCUGAUGACCUGGCUUUCUCAUUGUGGCUUCAGUGCAAUAGAAGAAUGUACUCUCUUGUGAAUCACUGGCCAUGGGACCUCACUCCUUAGAGACAUCUGUCCACUGAGACCUCACUUUACUGUUGCAGUGACUAAGUAGGAAAUAGGAACCUCAAGUUGCGUCCAGCCCAGGACAAGAGGUUAGAGUGCAACCUCUAGACUUCAGGAAAGUGAUGCUGCAGUCACCAACUCCUCAGAGCCACGGUGCAGCCCCAGCCCCUGCUCCCAUGACACAGCCCUGCACCUGAGCAGCACGCAGAUCUCAGGACCAUGCUUCUACAGUCAAAAACCUUUUCAUGGUGCCAGGACACUGAGCUUUUACACUGUCCAGAUGCCAUGGAGAUUUGGCCAGUUGAUUUAUUGAAAUCAGUUAUUAGUGCUGUACAUUGGUACUUUGAACAUGCACCCUAACCAAG